CCUACGGGCGGCAGCAGUGGGGGAUAUUGGACAAUGGGGGGAACCCUGAUCCAGCGACGCCGCGUGAGUGAAGAAGUCUUUCGGUAUGUAAAGCUCUGUCAGCAGGGAAGAAAGACAUGACGGUACCUGACCCAGAAGCCCCGGCUAACUACGUGCCAGCAGCCGCGGUAAUACGUAGGGGGCAAGCGUUAUCCGGAAUUACUGGGUGUACAGGGAGCGUAGACGGUUAAGUAAGUCUGGAGUGAAAGGCCGGGGCCCAACCCCGGGACUGCUCUGGAAACUAUUGAACUUGAGUGCAGGAUAGGUAAGCGGAAUUCCUAGUGUAGCGGUGAAAUGCGUAGAUAUUAGGAGGAACACCAGUGGCGAAGGCGGCUUACUGGACUGUAACUGACGUUGAGGCUCGAAAGCGUGGGGAGCAAACAGGAUUAGAUACCCGAGUAGUC
Molecule: ribosomal RNA, 443 nt
Filed under: uncultured bacterium
Lineage: Bacteria
Description: partial 16S ribosomal RNA
Rfam family: Bacterial small subunit ribosomal RNA
Source: RNAcentral